This 1346-nucleotide ribosomal RNA is filed under the name uncultured bacterium. RNAcentral describes it as "partial 16S ribosomal RNA". It matches the Rfam family "Bacterial small subunit ribosomal RNA", at positions 28 to 1381 of the family's 1533-position model. The record is from RNAcentral.
GACGAACGCUGGCGGCGUGCUUAACACAUGCAAGUCGAACGGAAAGGCCCUGCUUUUGUGGGGUGCUCGAGUGGCGAACGGGUGAGUAACACGUGAGUAACCUGCCCUUGACUUUGGGAUAACUUCAGGAAACUGGGGCUAAUACCGGAUAGGAGCUCCUGCUGCAUGGUGGGGGUUGGAAAGUUUCGGCGGUUGGGGAUGGACUCGCGGCUUAUCAGCUUGUUGGUGGGGUAGUGGCUUACCAAGGCUUUGACGGGUAGCCGGCCUGAGAGGGUGACCGGCCACAUUGGGACUGAGAUACGGCCCAGACUCCUACGGGAGGCAGCAGUGGGGAAUAUUGCACAAUGGGCGGAAGCCUGAUGCAGCAACGCCGCGUGCGGGAUGACGGCCUUCGGGUUGUAAACCGCUUUCGCCCGUGACGAAGCGUGAGUGACGGUAAUGGGUAAAGAAGCACCGGCUAACUACGUGCCAGCAGCCGCGGUGAUACGUAGGGUGCGAGCGUUGUCCGGAUUUAUUGGGCGUAAAGGGCUCGUAGGUGGUUGAUCGCGUCGGAAGUGUAAUCUUGGGGCUUAACCCUGAGCGUGCUUUCGAUACGGGUUGACUUGAGGAAGGUAGGGGAGAGUGGAGUUCCUGGUGGAGCGGUGGAAUGCGCAGAUAUCAGGAGGAACACCAGUGGCGAAGGCGGUUCUCUGGGCCUUUCCUGACGCUGAGGAGCGAAAGCGUGGGGAGCGAACAGGCUUAGAUACCCUGGUAGUCCACGCUGUAAACGGUGGGUACUAGGUGUGGGGUCCAUUCCACGGGUUCCGUGCCGUAGCUAACGCUUUAAGUACCCCGCCUGGGGAGUACGGCCGCAAGGCUAAAACUCAAAGGAAUUGACGGGGCCCCGCACAAGCGGCGGAGCAUGCGGAUUAAUUCGAUGCAACGCGUAGAACCUUACCUGGGUUUGACAUGGAUCGGGAGUGCUCAGAGAUGGGUGUGCCUCUUUUGGGGUCGGUUCACAGGUGGUGCAUGGCUGUCGUCAGCUCGUGUCGUGAGAUGUUGGGUUAAGUCCCGCAACGAGCGCAACCCUUGUUCACUGUUGCCAGCACGUUAUGGUGGGGACUCAGUGGAGACCGCCGGGGUCAACUCGGAGGAAGGUGGGGAUGACGUCAAGUCAUCAUGCCCCUUAUGUCCAGGGCUUCACGCAUGCUACAAUGGCUGGUACAGAGAGUGGCGAGCCUGUGAGGGUGAGCGAAUCUCGGAAAGCCGGUCUCAGUUCGGAUUGGGAUCUGCAACUCGACCUCAUGAAGUCGGAGUCGCUAGUAAUCGCAGAUCAGCAACGCUGCGGUGAAUACGUUCCCGGGGCU